UACGUAGGGUGCAAGCGUUGCCCGGAUUUAUUGGGCGUAAAGGGCGCGUAGGCGGCUCUGCACGUUCGUUGUGAAAUCGCCCGGCUCAACUGGGCGGGGUCAGCGGAUACGGCAGAGCUUGAGCAAGCUAGGGGGCAAUGGAAUUCCCGGUGUAGUGGUGGAAUGCGUAGAUAUCGGGAGGAACACCAGUGGCGAAGGCGGUUCUCUGGGCAUUACCUGACGCUGAGGAGCGAAAGUGUGGGGAGCGAACAGG
RNAcentral lists this ribosomal RNA (253 nucleotides) under uncultured bacterium. RNAcentral describes it as "partial 16S ribosomal RNA". It matches the Rfam family "Bacterial small subunit ribosomal RNA", at positions 524 to 776 of the family's 1533-position model. The record is from RNAcentral.